This 433-nucleotide ribosomal RNA is filed under the name uncultured bacterium. RNAcentral describes it as "partial 16S ribosomal RNA". It matches the Rfam family "Bacterial small subunit ribosomal RNA", at positions 29 to 507 of the family's 1533-position model. The record is from RNAcentral.
AGCGAACGCUGGCGGCAGGCCUAACACAUGCAAGUCGAACGGAUCCUUCGGGAUUAGUGGCGGACGGGUGAGUAACACGUGGGAACGUGCCCUUUGGUUCGGAACAACUCAGGGAAACUUGAGCUAAUACCGGAUGUGCCCUUCGGGGGAAAGAUUUAUCGCCAUUGGAGCGGCCCGCGUCUGAUUAGCUAGUUGGUGAGGUAGCGGCCCACCAAGGCGACGAUCAGUAGCUGGUCUGAGAGGAUGAUCAGCCACACUGGGACUGAGACACGGCCCAGACUCCUACGGGAGGCAGCAGUGGGGAAUCUUGCGCAAUGGGCGAAAGCCUGACGCAGCCAUGCCGCGUGAAUGAUGAAGGUCUUAGGAUUGUAAAAUUCUUUCAGCGGGGACGAUAAUGACGGUACCCGCAGAAGAAGCUCCGGCUAACUUCGUG